Molecule: long non-coding RNA, 584 nt
Filed under: Hordeum vulgare
Lineage: Eukaryota; Viridiplantae; Streptophyta; Magnoliopsida; Poales; Poaceae
Description: long non-coding RNA (HVUL_LNC018288)
Source: RNAcentral
GUGGAAGGUGGUGGUGCUGGGUGGAUCUAGCAAAGCUUCCCAAAUUAGCUUGCUAGCCUUUCAGAUCGAGUGCUGCAAGAUCCCCGUAAGCUCUCUCUUGGCCGUCAUGGACGCGGGGAAGGGAGUGGCGGCUUGGAUCUUGCAGCUCUUUCCGGUUGAAGGAAUCCUGGGGGUGUUCAUGGUGGCUGCGAACUGGAGCAUAUUCUCGGAGGCGCGUCAUCGACUUCCUGCCGGUUCUCCGCUGAUCGCCAUGGCCGAAGGGCGGCCGCUCCAAGCACUGCUGCCAGUGGUUCCUCUCUGGUGCUCUUGCUCUUUCAACCUCCUGGUCUUCGAACCAAAAGGGAGGUCUUUCCAUGGCUCGGGCACGACUUCCAUCGUCUUCUCCGUCCCAAGUGGUAUCGGGUGACGGUGAGGAUGGCCGUGUUCUGGAGCUUCAGUGCAGUGGUGAAGGUCGUGUAUGCGUUUUACACUUUUAUGUUAGGGUCUUCCUAGUAAAAUCUGAGGGUUACGUUGUAAAUUUUUGUUUUUCGUAGGACCUUCAUGUAACUUGUACCAUCACUGUCUUUAUCUAAUGCAGCUUCCAG